Homo sapiens (human) is the source of this 410-nucleotide long non-coding RNA. RefSeq lists it as uncharacterized. The transcript is spliced from 2 exons. The record is from RefSeq and is a predicted model, not a curated record. NCBI's taxonomy places the organism in Eukaryota, Metazoa, Chordata, Mammalia, Primates, Hominidae.
AGUACAUUUCCAAGGAAAUGAUCCAAAGGGCGAAGAAGGGGGAGAACUUGCAGAAAGAUGUUAACAGCAGGGCUAUUCACAAUGUUCGUGAUGACCAAAACCUGGGAAUGGGCCCAGUUGUCCAACAAUUGAGUAACCCAAACAGGCGCCUUCACAUUAACAGCAAGAAUCCUGGCAGGUGAUGUAAUGAGGACUCAUAUAUAUGCACAUGGAGUGAAUAAAUGAAUUAAGGAAUGGAUGGGUGAAAACAACGAACUGUGAAUGGUCCAGCCAUCACCAAUAAGACACGUAACAACUUUUCCCAUCUCGCUUCACGCUGCCAGGCAACGCAGGCUGGCAUUGUUGUAGUGAGUUGCUUCUGUUCCACACAAGCCAGGAUUUAAUAACAGAAUAAAGGAAUGAACUCGCAA